AGGUAAACAAGCAAGUUCCACGCCCCAGUCCUGCUGGGGCCUUCGCCAGCCACCGCUCUGGGCUCAUCUCCCGGCGCCUCCUCGGGGCACCUGAGUGUUUUAAGCCCACUGCCAAGUGUUUUGGACACAGGUUUUUUUGCGGGGUGGUGAGGUUGGGCACAAGAUGCUUCCUAAAAGGUUGUUGGCACGCAGACCAUGGCCCCAGUGACGGCGCGGCAGGCAGGGGCUUGGAGGAACACGCUGUCUUUGUCUCGUCCCCAAAGCACCCGGCCGUGGGUCACCCGUGAUCCCUGGAGUGGAGGGACUGUUGUCACCCCUGGUGCUCCAGGAGAAGAGGUUCCAUGCUGGGUCCCGGGCCCAGGCCCACGGUGCCCUCAGCCCGCAGUUCUUCACCUUGCGGAAUGAUUUGCUGGCCCGGCCCAGCGCCCCGGCACCACCAUUUUCUGCCCUCUUUUCCCUGCCUGGCUUCAAACCCUCCCAGGCCAGGGUCCUGAGGAGACACCUGGGCUGGGGGAGGCAACUGAGUGGCCCCAGGCCUGGGAAUCUGCAAAAGUGGCCAAGCCACAUCUCUCGAGACUGCAAGGGCCCUGGAGGCGCUGGGAGGCACAGAUCUGGCUGCCAGCUGGGCCUGAGGCCUCCCUUUGUCCGUCCUUCUUGUCCUUCCUCACCAGACAUGAUCCUCUCUGAGGUUGGUCCCGGGCUUCCAUACGUGAUUCAUGGAAGAGGUCUCAGCCCCAAGAGCCCCUGAGGGUACUGUCCACUCCCCCUGGAAACUUCCAGAACCUGACGUGGGGCUGAAGACAUAGAGGUAAUGGGGGUGGGCUGGUGGGGCGCUGGCUGGGACAAUGUGUGGAGCCCUUGUUUUCAGAGCUACAGAUGCUUGUCAGCUGACAGUCCGUUUCCAGCAUCCACAGUGGACCUCCUUUGGGGGAGCAUUUACCUGCCAAUGAACCCCAAGAUCCUUUCUCAGAGGCGGCGGGAUGAAGUUUUCCUUUUUUUUUUUUUUUAGUUUAUAUAUUUUAUUUAAACCAAUAUAUCCAAAAUAUUAUCAGUUCAACAUAUGAUCCAGAUAAAGAUUAAUGAGAUACUUUAUAUUUUCAUACUAAAUCUUUUUUAAAUUUUUGUGAGUACAUAGUAGGUAUAAACAUUUAGGGAUGAAGUUUCUUACUGUGUUUUCCCAGUAACAAGCACUGGCAUCAGCUGUCAUGAUUUCUCCCCAAGGCCUAGGAUGGUCAGCCUCGCACGCUCCACCGCAGAGUGACUGAAGCUCUAUCGAGGUGUGGCACGAGCGUGUUGUCAUUUCAAGAGAAUCUGCAGCCUCCCUGGUUUUUAAUGAACGCUCCUAUGCAGGGCCUGGCCCUUUCCUGGGGAGGGAAGCCUGGCUGUGUCUCCCGCUGCAUCCUCACUGGGAACUUCAUUCCUGAGCCGCGACCGCUAUUUUUUGGAUUGGAAAAUGCCUUGGGAACGGCUCAUCUUCCUGCGGCUUGAGCCCAUUUGUUUUCUGACUGGUGGUCACUGGUGAUUAGAGUGUGUCCCAAAGGGAACUGUCACCUUAGUUCUAUCAUACGCUAUCAAUAACUUGUCCAGGGCUGACUUUGUGGCUGUGCGGCCUGCCCAGUGGUAGAGGGCCGGUGUGCUGAAGGGCCCCACACUCAAUGUUUGGCUGUCCCCGAUCUUAAAAUUCUUAGUCAUUCUUGAACAAGGGAACCCAUAUUUUCAUUUUGUUCUAGGCUCUGAGAGUUACAUAAUUGAUUCUGACUUUGGCUGUUAGUCAACAGUGUCAUAAGGUAAAAUAAGGCUGUUGUAGAAUCUGCUCAGCCAGGGAGGGGAAAGGAGUCGGCAAUCAGGUCUCCUCCUGGGCACCUUUGUGAGGCCAGCUGGCGAGAGUGGGGGGUGACACUGAGGUCCCAGCAGCUCCAAAUGCAGGCAGAGCCCUGUCCUCAGAGAAGGUCACAGCCUAGCCAAGCCCAGCCAGGUGGAUGGGCCCACGGAACGCACAGGAACCUGGAACGGAGGUUGAAAGCAGGAAGCACAGUCUGUGACUCCCCAGCCCACUCUUCAUUCGACCACUUGGGGCCCAGAAGCUUCAGGAAAGGUGCACAAGGUCACUGGGUCCCAGUACGCCAAACAGGAAGGUCUGGUCCAGGGACAGGGCUCUUCCCGACUCCCCUUAGCCACGCGCACCAGAAGUUCUGCAGUGCCCAGUGGGCAUAGCAGUCCCCAAGAAUGACCCAGCACUGAAGCUGAGCCAAAGAACUUGGGGAGCGAGCCACACCCCCUCACUCCCUCUUCGUCUGCUCCAGACUUGCCAGGCGGUUGCUUUUCGUGGGAACCGGGAUGUCCUCACCACCCUGUCCAGGGCUGAGCCCCAUGUCCCUGGCCUGCUACAGCUGGAAAAAAAAAAAAGAGAUAUGUUUGUUUUUAUUUGCUUAUAAAAAGAAAAGUGUUAUAUAUAUAACAUAUUAUACCUCAUGAAUAAAUACAAUUAUUUGUCAAUUAACAAUAAAGAAAAAUAUAGCAAGCAAAAAAGACUCCUCUUCCACAAAAAUAGUGUUCAUUACAGAAAAAUACAAAAAAAAAAAAAACUAAGAGGAUAUUUAGAAUUAAGAAAA
Molecule: small RNA, 2612 nt
Filed under: Pan troglodytes (chimpanzee)
Lineage: Eukaryota; Metazoa; Chordata; Mammalia; Primates; Hominidae
Description: retained intron
Source: RNAcentral